AGCAGCUGCGGUGGAUCUCCUACUCAGACUUGCGGGGAGAGCCGGUUGACAGCUGCGUGCAGAUCCGACUACUGGGCCGCUGGGAGUUCGUGCCGCCGUCGUGCGUGGUUUAUCAAAGAAACUGGCCAGGUGUCUCCUUUUGGAGCCGAAGAUGGCGAGCUACUGAAACUACGGCUGGGAGCCAACAACCUCUGUAGCACUACAGCAUCGCAGCCCUACUGGUCUGGUAGGAGGCUGUGACAGCCCCACGCAAUUCUCAUUAAACUGCCACAACUCCACUCACAUCCCUUCCCUUCAAUGGACAAUAUUCAAUGGACAAUUCCCCGUGAACACUCACUCAGACCCUCGUGGAUUGUUGUGACAGUGUGUAGAUUGGGUGCAAGCAACUUUGGGGAUUCAUUUAUUUUCCCAUUGUGAACCUUUGUAUGUUGUUGUGUUAAAUCCUGAACCAAACUGAGCCAUAUCUAAAGUGCACUUAAGUAAUAUUCUAACCGGUUGCCAUAACUGCAGUUUUGUAUAUAUUUUGGCUUUUUCUAUUUUUUUCCUUACCAUUUGUUGUUGUAAAUAUUUUGGGUUGUCAUAUUCACUUUGAAAUACAAGGUACCUGCACUAAU
Molecule: long non-coding RNA, 614 nt
Organism: Epinephelus lanceolatus (giant grouper)
Lineage: Eukaryota; Metazoa; Chordata; Actinopteri; Perciformes; Serranidae
Source: RefSeq, a predicted model, not a curated record